This 678-nucleotide ribosomal RNA is filed under the name uncultured ciliate. RNAcentral's name for it is "SSU rRNA". It matches the Rfam family "Eukaryotic small subunit ribosomal RNA", at positions 319 to 1019 of the family's 1831-position model. The record is from RNAcentral. Lineage: Eukaryota; Ciliophora.
CUGGAUGGUAGUGUAUUGGACUACCAUGGCAGUCACGGGUAACGGAGAAUUAGGGUUCGAUUCCGGAGAGGGAGCCUGAGAAACGGCUACCACAUCUACGGAAGGCAGCAGGCGCGUAAAUUACCCAAUCCUGAUUCAGGGAGGUAGUGACAAGAAAUAACAACUCGGGCAUUUUUAAUGCUUCGAAUUUGCAAUGGGAACAAUCUAAAUCACUUAUCGAGGAACAAUUGGAGGGCAAGUCUGGUGCCAGCAGCCGCGGUAAUUCCAGCUCCAAUAGCGUAUAUUAAAGUUGUUGCAGUUAAAAAGCUCGUAGUUGAAUUUCUGAUUAUGAAUGUACUGGGUAACCGGUCCAUUUAUAGUCAUCCACAUGAGAACCUAUCUCGGCCUUCACUGGUCGGUUGGGGGAUCAUGUACUUUACUUUGAAAAAAUCAGAGUGUUUCAGGCAGGCGUUUGCAUGAAUACACAAGCAUGGAAUAAUGGAAUAGGACUAGGGUCCAUUUUAUUGGUUAUUGGACCAUAGUAAUGAUUAAUAGGGACAGUUGGGGGCAUUAGUAUUUAAUUGUCAGAGGUGAAAUUCUUGGAUUUAUUAAAGACUAACUUAUGCGAAAGCAUUUGCCAAGGAUGUUUUCAUUAAUCAAGAACGAAAGUUAGGGGAUCAAAGACGAUCAGAUACCGUC